This 486-nucleotide ribosomal RNA is filed under the name uncultured bacterium. RNAcentral's name for it is "partial 16S ribosomal RNA". It matches the Rfam family "Bacterial small subunit ribosomal RNA", at positions 28 to 507 of the family's 1533-position model. The record is from RNAcentral.
GACGAACGCUGGCGGCGUGCUUGACACAUGCAAGUCGAACGCUGAAGACCUGGCUUUUGUUGGGUUGGAUGAGUGGCGAACGGGUGAGUAACACGUGAGUAACCUGCCCUCUUCUUUGGGAUAACGCCCGGAAACGGGUGCUAAUACUGGAUAUUCACUGAUCUUCGCAUGGGGGUUGGUGGAAAGGUUUGUUCUGGUGGGGGAUGGGCUCGCGGCCUAUCAGCUUGUUGGUGGGGUGAUGGCCUACCAAGGCUUUGACGGGUAGCCGGCCUGGGAGGGUGACCGGUCACAUUGGGACUGAGAUACGGCCCAGACGCCUACGGGAGGCAGCAGUGGGGAAUAUUGCACAAUGGGCGAAAGCCUGAUGCAGCGACGCCGCGUGAGGGAUGGAGGCCUUCGGGGUGUAAACCUCUUUCGCUCAUGGUCAAGCCGCAACUGUGGGUUGUGGUGAGGGUAGUGGGUAAAGAAGCGCCGGCUAACUACGUG